Molecule: ribosomal RNA, 1061 nt
Filed under: Escherichia coli
Lineage: Bacteria; Pseudomonadati; Pseudomonadota; Gammaproteobacteria; Enterobacterales; Enterobacteriaceae
Description: partial 23S ribosomal RNA
Rfam family: Bacterial large subunit ribosomal RNA
Source: RNAcentral
GGUUAAUGAGGCGAACCGGGGGAACUGAAACAUCUAAGUACCCCGAGGAAAAGAAAUCAACCGAGAUUCCCCCAGUAGCGGCGAGCGAACGGGGAGCAGCCCAGAGCCUGAAUCAGUGUGUGUGUUAGUGGAAGCGUCUGGAAAGGCGUGCGAUACAGGGUGACAGCCCCGUACACAAAAAUGCACAUAUUGUGAGCUCGAUGAGUAGGGCGGGACACGUGGUAUCCUGUCUGAAUAUGGGGGGACCAUCCUCCAAGGCUAAAUACUCCUGACUGACCGAUAGUGAACCAGUACCGUGAGGGAAAGGCGAAAAGAACCCCGGCGAGGGGAGUGAAAAAGAACCUGAAACCGUGUACGUACAAGCAGUGGGAGCACGCUUAGGCGUGUGACUGCGUACCUUUUGUAUAAUGGGUCAGCGACUUAUAUUCUGUAGCAAGGUUAACCGAAUAGGGGAGCCGAAGGGAAACCGAGUCUUAACUGGGCGUUAAGUUGCAGGGUAUAGACCCGAAACCCGGUGAUCUAGCCAUGGGCAGGUUGAAGGUUGGGUAACACUAACUGGAGGACCGAACCGACUAAUGUUGAAAAAUUAGCGGAUGACUUGUGGCUGGGGGUGAAAGGCCAAUCAAACCGGGAGAUAGCUGGUUCUCCCCGAAAGCUAUUUAGGUAGCGCCUCGUGAAUUCAUCUCCGGGGGUAGAGCACUGUUUCGGCAAGGGGGUCAUCCCGACUUACCAACCCGAUGCAAACUGCGAAUACCGGAGAAUGUUAUCACGGGAGACACACGGCGGGUGCUAACGUCCGUCGUGAAGAGGGAAACAACCCAGACCGCCAGCUAAGGUCCCAAAGUCAUGGUUAAGUGGGAAACGAUGUGGGAAGGCCCAGACAGCCAGGAUGUUGGCUUAGAAGCAGCCAUCAUUUAAAGAAAGCGUAAUAGCUCACUGGUCGAGUCGGCCUGCGCGGAAGAUGUAACGGGGCUAAACCAUGCACCGAAGCUGCGGCAGCGACGCUGAUGCGUUGUUGGGUAGGGGAGCGUUCUGUAAGCCUGUGAAGGUGUACUGUGAGG